Callithrix jacchus (white-tufted-ear marmoset) is the source of this 101-nucleotide small nuclear RNA. NCBI's taxonomy places the organism in Eukaryota, Metazoa, Chordata, Mammalia, Primates, Cebidae. The record is from Ensembl.
GUGUUGUAUGAAGGGACAGAAGGUCAGCACUACCCCUGACAAGGAACACACACAGGUUAAGGCAUUGCCACCUGCUUAGUGGCAUCUAACUAUCAUUUUUU